This is a non-coding RNA of Saimiri boliviensis boliviensis (Bolivian squirrel monkey), 712 nucleotides long. The record is from RefSeq and is a predicted model, not a curated record. Lineage: Eukaryota; Metazoa; Chordata; Mammalia; Primates; Cebidae.
CGUGGCGGGCAUGAAAACAAACUCCGGAGGGUCGCACACGGGUUCGAGUUGUCAUUGCUGGGGUUGUUCUGUCGUGCCAGGAGGCUCUCCGAGAUUGGGGCCCGGUCACUACGUCGUCGGCUGGUGCGAUGGCGUUUCUCUAAAGCAUGUCGGGGGGUGCUGAGUGCCCUGGGAAGGUCUGGAGCGGAGCUGUGCGCCGGCUGUGGAAGUCGACUGCGAUCCCCUUCGGUUUUGUGUAUUUACCGAAAUGGUUUUCAUCUGCCUUGGCAAGUUAUCCAAAGUAACCUGUAAAUUCUUAUCUUCGAUUUUCUGAAGAACAACUACCCAUAUUUAAAGCUCAGAACCCAGAUGCAAAAAAUACACAACUAAUUAGAAGAAUCGCAGAGCGUUGGAGGGAACUUCCCGAUUCAAAGAAAAUAUACGAAGAUGCUUACAGGGCAAACUGGGAGGCACGCAAAGAAGAGACAAGCAGAAGUCAAGAACAACUAACUCCAAGUCAGAUUGUAUCUUUGGAAAAAGGAAUCAGGUACAAACAUUUAAAAAGGAAAGCUAUAAUAAAAAAGAGCGCAAAGCUGAAGACUGUAAAUGAAAACUGGAAAAAAAUCUGUCUGGUUCUCUAAAGAAAGUAUAUAUUCAGCUUGCUAAAGAUGAUAAAAUUCGUUAUUAUAAUGAAAUGAAGUCUUGGGAAGAACGGAUGAUUGAAGUACGAUGA